GCCUGGUCCAAAGGUAGUGAGUUAUUUCACUUGAUUAUUCACAGUCACAGAUUGAACUCCUUGUUCUACUACUUUCCCCCCCUCUCACUACUGCUCUUGACGAGUCUAAA
Molecule: Y RNA, 110 nt
Filed under: Prolemur simus (greater bamboo lemur)
Lineage: Eukaryota; Metazoa; Chordata; Mammalia; Primates; Lemuridae
Description: Y RNA (ENSPSMG00000025167.1)
Rfam family: Y RNA
About the family: Y RNAs are components of the Ro ribonucleoprotein particle (Ro RNP), in association with Ro60 and La proteins.
Source: Rfam by way of RNAcentral